This 1732-nucleotide long non-coding RNA is filed under the name Taeniopygia guttata (zebra finch). Its description in RNAcentral is "lncRNA (ENSTGUG00000029135.1)". The record is from RNAcentral. Lineage: Eukaryota; Metazoa; Chordata; Aves; Passeriformes; Estrildidae.
UGAGCGCUGCUUGAAGUUCGUAUUUUAUUGCUUUGUACAAGCGAAAAAACCAGGGGAAAAAGAGAACUCCAGGACUGAAAGGUGCAAGCCCAAGGUGGGAAUCCACCACAGGCACCCAGGGGUGAGGGUGGCACAGCAGAGCUCCUCUCUUUUUUAAUUUCAGUUAAAUAAAAAGGCAGAGUUGCUAAAAGGAAAAAAAAAUGGGGUACAAUUAAUGCUGAGCAUCACCCUCCUCACAAAUAACCUCCCUGGAGCUAUGAAAAUAAAUGAUCCCAAAAUCCCUGAAAAUACCUGAGAUGGAGGGAGAGCUGCAGGAGGGAUCCCUGGGAAUGGCUCAUUCCAAGGGUUUAAUGCCAUUAAAUAUUUUCAUGAAUUGAAGGUUUUAACUAAUUAAAGGGUUUAAUGUCAUUAAAGGCAAUUUUUGGUGCAAGGUUAAGCCAAAUCCAGGGGCCUGGCUCUGCAGAUCCUCUCCCAGGGCGAGUCCUAAACAGCGAGAUCCCAAAAGAGCAGCGCCCAAGCUGAGAAAUCAACAUUUUUCCAGAGCUGGGCUUGGGUUUUCGUUCCUCCAGAGGAAAAAGUGGCUGGGAUAAUUAAAUUGCUGGAGAUUUUCCAAGCUGCUCCAGACACCAAAAUCGUGGAUCUUGUCCUCAGCUUAAUGGUAGGCACAAUACAAAUAUAAUUUUUAAAAACCAACCGUGUAUUUUGAGUGUCCUGAGUGCUCUGGGAACACAGACACGUCUGGAAUAUGACUUAGAGGGAAGUACAGUGCUAAAGAAGUGCCUGGAGAAGGGCUCUGCUGGGAUUGCUGCCUUCCCCGAGCUCUCUGCCCUCGUCUUUCCUUGGGAGCAGCUGCUCUGCUCCUCUUUCCAGCCUCCCCCAAUCUUUUUCAGCAGCUAAAAAUGAGAUUUGUGUCUGCAGAGCAGACCCUCAGACCCAGCCUGUGCAGGAGGGAAGGGCAGGAAAACCUUCCUGGAUUUUCUGUUGGAUCCUUGGAUGGACACCUGGGAGCUGCCCACAGAAUCAGAGCUAAGCACAGACAUCACCUCUGGGUGAUUAAACAGCAGAAAUUAUGGGAUUCUUCUUCCCACAGUGGAAAUUCCCUUCCCAACCAGGGGCUGGCACUCGAGGCUCGUGCAAUAAUUAAUUGGGACUGAAAUUUGGGAAUGUUCCCCACGUCCAUGGCACAGACCCAGUCUUUGCACGUGGAUUUUGCUGCCAGGAUCAAGCCCCAUCCAUAGGAAGGAAAUUAAAUUGACUGGUCCCAGCAAGAGCAGACUGGGAGACCUGCUAGGAAUCAGAAUCCUGGAAUCACUGAGGCUGGAAAAGCCCUCCAAGAUCUUUGAGUCCAGUCCUUAACCCAGCAUUAACCCAUGUCCCCAAGAGGCACACCCAUCCCAGUAACUAAAGUUUCCCUCCGAAGUCUGUGUUCUUCCACAGAAAUACUUUUCAGACAAAAAAUUGGGAAGUUUUUCCUAAUAUUUUGUCACUAAGGGCAUGAUUCUGAAGGAAACAGGUUAGCACAGCACUGUACAAUUUAUAAAAUCAUUAUUCUAAGCUGGACAAAAAUGCAAAUUAAAUCUUUCAGCUGCUGUUUCUUGGGAGAAUUUGAUCUUUCUGGAAAAUGAUUGUCUAAGCCAUGCUUGCCAAUUAACACCCCUGUCCUAGGUUUGGUUCUAAUUAGGUCCUAACUAGGCUCUAAUUUCACACCAGCAACACCAAGAUUUGUCUUUGU